UGGGGAAUCUUGCGCAAUGGGCGAAAGCCUGACGCAGCGACGCCGCGUGAGGGAAGAAGGCCUUCGGGUUGUAAACCUCUUUCAGGAGGGACGAAGCUACUCGGGUGAAUAGCCCAGAGGGUGACGGUACCUCCAGAAGAAGCCCCGGCUAACUACGUGCCAGCAGCCGCGGUAAUACGUAGGGGGCAAGCGUUGUCCGGAUUUACUGGGCGUAAAGAGCGUGUAGGCGGCCAAACAGGUCCGUUGUGAAAACUGGAGGCUCAACCUCCAGACGUCGACGGAAGCCGUAUGGCUAGAGUCCGGAAGAGGAGAGUGGAAUUCCUGGUGUAGCGGUGAAAUGCGCAGAUAUCAGGAAGAACACCUAUGGCGAAGGCAGCUCUCUGGGACGGUACUGACGCUGAGACGCGAAAGCGUGGGGAGCGAACAGGAUUAGAUACCCUGGUAGUCCACGCCGUAAAACGAUGGGCGCUAGGUGUGGGAGGUGUC
Molecule: ribosomal RNA, 486 nt
Filed under: uncultured Actinomycetes bacterium
Lineage: Bacteria; Bacillati; Actinomycetota; Actinomycetes
Description: bacterial SSU rRNA
Rfam family: Bacterial small subunit ribosomal RNA
Source: RNAcentral